ACCCACUUCUUACCAAGAACUCCUUAACUUGAGGGUGAACAACUUAAAGCUUGAUCCUACAGUUACCUGAAAAGUGAUUUGAGUAUUCAUUGAACUGAAAGAACAAAUCGCCUACUUCAGGCGGUGGCAAGCGUAUGGAAAUUAUAUUAGAACUUCAGCAAAGUGCACAGCUGCAUAAUAGAGAAGCCGGCACUCAGAUUGACAGGCAAAUAAGCCAGCUUGUGGAAGGGGCCUCUGGGUGGCAGCUCUGGGCUUUUGGGUGUUGGACAACCAUAGGCAAAACUGAAAUGGAACAGGGGCAGAAAAUAGCACACUUUUACUCUACGCAACUGUUGCUUUUUCAUGGACAUCCAUAAAAAUUCAUCAGAGAGCAUUUUACUACUGAGCUGCAAAGAUGACAAGAGCACCUCAAAGGCAGCAGCCUCAAGGAGCAGCCAUGGCCCCAGACUUGUCGCACGGAUGCAGAAAACUUAAUGGAGGAGGCUGAGGUCAGAAUGGGAAGAGUUUUUAAAAAAUAAAAAGGGGAGCUAAUAUG
Molecule: long non-coding RNA, 535 nt
Organism: Homo sapiens (human)
Lineage: Eukaryota; Metazoa; Chordata; Mammalia; Primates; Hominidae
Gene: MIR99AHG
Product: mir-99a-let-7c cluster host gene
Source: Ensembl